RNAcentral lists this long non-coding RNA (1451 nucleotides) under Felis catus (domestic cat). Its description in RNAcentral is "lncRNA (ENSFCAG00000050661.1)". The record is from RNAcentral. Lineage: Eukaryota; Metazoa; Chordata; Mammalia; Carnivora; Felidae.
UUUGCCAAGUUACUCCCGUGGAAAGGUUAGUGUAGCCAACAAUGGCCACUCUCAUCACCCCACCCCCUUGGAGGGCAGCUGGGCCAAGCCAGGAGUCUACUUUAGAAGGAUUUAAUAAUCUUCUUUUUUUUCCUGAGGAGGUUCAGGUUCCUAACCCACCUACCAAAUAGCCCGAAUAUCAACCGUCACAAUACAAAUGAUUACAACAGUCUGCAUAAACGCUGACUGCAGUAGUGCACUUCAAAGCACUCCAUUGCUUGCAUGCUAUAACUUCAUAAAAAAAAAAUUUAAAAAAAGUUUAAAAAGGCAGCAGGUCACCACCUAAGACAAGGGCUUUGCCAGCGGUGCAGAAACCUUCCUCCAGACAAAAAAAAAAGGGGGGGGGGGAAACACAGCUGAUCCCUCCUCCGGGGUCCAGCCUUAUCGGUUGGUUCUCGAGGAUGGGUGAGCCGGCGAGUCCUCCAGGGAAACUUCCCAGGCUCUUCUCCGGGAAGUUCUCCCUCCCUGCGAGGUAGCGCAGUUUUGUUUUCUCUCCCACCUGCGUUCUGUGUUUAGGCGUACAGCCUCCCAACCCACAGCGGUCGAGUUCACAACCCUCCUCUGACUCUCCUCCCACCUCUGCGAUCUGGGGCAGCCUCCCGCGGCGGCCGCACCGCUGGCCAGCCGAGUCAACUCACUGUCAGGCUUUCAGUCUACACGGGUAAGCAAGUUUCAUUCCUAAAAGGGGAGGGACUAGGCAGGGCACAGACCCCGUAUUCCCGAGAAGUUUCCAGGAGAAGCGCAGCGCAGAAGUCACUCGCUUGGACCACUUUGCGGCUCACGGUGUCCGCAGCCUAGUGUGAGUCCACGGAAAGUUAGGGAUCUCUGCCCUGGUCUCAAACCCCGGGGCUUGGCGCCGAGCCGGGGCAGCGCCCCUCCCCUCGCCGGCCGGAGACGAGCCCCUGACCGCUGCGUCUCCAACUGCGCCUCCCAAAACCGCCGCGUUCGAAUUCGCGCUCGGCCGGCCGGCGGCGGCGGCGUGCGUGCCCGCGGGAGCGCAGGCGGGGCGGGGGCGGCGGGGGCGCCGUCGGGCCGGGACGGAGCUGCAGGGCCCCAUCGCCCACUCUUCGGCCGCCCCGCCCGCGGGACGCGCGGAGCAGGAACUCGCCGAAGUUUGCCAAGCCCCGGCCGAAGUCUCUGACACUGUCACACAGAGAAAAGGGCCGUCGUGUCAACCAAACAAAAAUUGUCAAGUCUGGCAAUUUAAGGACGACCCUGAUGGCACAUCACCCUCCGUCAAGCUGAACUUCAAAACGACAUCUCCCUUCAUUGUCCCAAAGUCCCCUUGUUCCUCCUUCCACAUAGGCAGUUCUCAUACUACCGUUGUUUUUCUUUACAAAUAAAACUGUCCUUCCCCGAUUUACUGUGUAGUGACCAAGCAUCAGAAGUUGUAGCCUUAGCGAUGCCUGGGG